This is a long non-coding RNA of Corythoichthys intestinalis (scribbled pipefish), 1040 nucleotides long. RefSeq lists it as uncharacterized. The transcript has 4 exons. The record is from RefSeq and is a predicted model, not a curated record. Lineage: Eukaryota; Metazoa; Chordata; Actinopteri; Syngnathiformes; Syngnathidae.
CCACUUUCGCGCUCUUUCCAACACCUUUCUCAGUUAUUUUCGCCAUUGUGGGUUUACUUGUCCUCAGCACACUGAUUUGGCACUGCUGCAAUCGUCACACUUUUUCUGUUACAAACUGACCCGGCCCCUCAUCAGAGAAGGGAAAAGUCAUGUGGCCUUCACAGGAAAAGGAAUACAGAUCGAAAGAGUGCAGAGAUCACACUCGACGCCAUAACAACCUGGUGUGUUUAAGGUUGGUCAUUUAUGUGCCUAUAUUUUGAAAUUGUUGCCUUAAUUUUGUGUUCUUUUUCACCAUCCCCCAAUCAGGCUGAAGCAAAUGGUCAAAAGUCCACACAUACCUCAGUCUCAGCAAUUACAGGUCAACCAAAGCAGUAUUCUCUAAUGCAGUGGACUUGCAAGUACUGCACAUUUUCUGCUGAAAAGAGCCUACUUGCUUAAGCAUUACCGCUUAAAACAUGGAUACCACACUCGGACAUCCCUACUCCCAUGUCUUCAUAAGGACUGCCUCUGCACAUUUAAAUCUUUUAAUGCACUCAAAGUACACCUAUCGACAUGGCACUCUCAAAAAGAUGCAGGCAAAAGUGGAGAAACUGCAUUUGACCGUCAGUUGUGCAACUUUGUGGAGCCCUGCUCAGAAGCAGACUUCUUUACCCAUUUGCGAGGACAUCUUAAGCUGAGGCAAAUGGUUACUUGCCCAUAUCAAGACUAACUUUCAGAGCAGUAUUUAUUCGACCUUCACUGCACACAAAAGCAAAGAAAUGUGAAAUGUGUUUGAGCCAUAGUGUGGGUAGGACAUUUGUGUCUAAAUCAUUCAAUCCCAAUAAAAGUUGCUUUAAUAAAAAAAAACUUAUUUUUAAUCAAAGAAAAAGAACCUUUUGCAAAAAUAUAUUUUUUUGAAAAUAUAUAUAUUUUUAAAUAUAUAUUUUUUUUAUUGACGUGUCACUUUUUUUUUAAAGGAAAAAGUUUAAAACUUUUUUUUUAAAGUGGAAAAAGUUUUGAACGCAUUUCUUUUUUUCUUUUUGAAGUGGAAAAGGUUUUAA